Molecule: ribosomal RNA, 217 nt
Filed under: Staphylococcus pseudintermedius
Lineage: Bacteria; Bacillati; Bacillota; Bacilli; Caryophanales; Staphylococcaceae
Description: partial 16S ribosomal RNA
Rfam family: Bacterial small subunit ribosomal RNA
Source: RNAcentral
UUUAUGGAGAGUUUGAUCCUGGCUCAGGAUGAACGCUGGCGGCGUGCCUAAUACAUGCAAGUCGAGCGAACAGAUAAGGAGCUUGCUCCUUUGACGUUAGCGGCGGACGGGUGAGUAACACGUGGGUAACCUACCUAUAAGACUGGAAUAACUCCGGGAAACCGGGGCUAAUGCCUGAUAACAUGUUGAACCGCAUGGUUCUAUAGUGAAAGACGGU